GAGCGCCCCGCAAGGGGAGCGGCAGACGGGAGAGUAACACGUGGGAACGUGCCCUUUGGUUCGGAACAACCCAGGGAAACUUGGGCUAAUACCGGAUAAGCCCUUACGGGGAAAGAUUUAUCGCCGAAGGAUCGGCCCGCGUCUGAUUAGCUAGUUGGUGGGGUAACGGCUCACCAAGGCGACGAUCAGUAGCUGGUCUGAGAGGAUGAUCAGCCUCACUGGGACUGAGACACGGCCCAGACUCCUACGGGAGGCAGCAGUGGGGAAUAUUGGACAAUGGGCGCAAGCCUGAUCCAGCCAUGCCGCGUGGGUGAUGAAGGCCCUAGGGUUGUAAAGCCCUUUCGGCGGGGAAGAUAAUGACGGUACCCGCAGAAGAAGCCCCGGCUAACUUCGUG
RNAcentral lists this ribosomal RNA (395 nucleotides) under uncultured bacterium. RNAcentral describes it as "bacterial SSU rRNA". It matches the Rfam family "Bacterial small subunit ribosomal RNA", at positions 64 to 507 of the family's 1533-position model. The record is from RNAcentral.